Molecule: long non-coding RNA, 4382 nt
Organism: Syngnathus typhle (broad-nosed pipefish)
Lineage: Eukaryota; Metazoa; Chordata; Actinopteri; Syngnathiformes; Syngnathidae
Exons: 4
Source: RefSeq, a predicted model, not a curated record
UUUUUCUGUCAUGGCUCAUUUCCGCUUCCGUGUCCUUGGUUGCACUCUGUGGUAUCACGCUGCAAAAGCAUCCAGGAAAAAUGGCAAAAUUAAGUAAAGAGACCAAACAGCGGCUGCAGCAACUGUUCCAGUGUGGACAAUUCGUCAUCCGAUGGGGAUUUAUUCCUACAGUGCUGUACUUGGGCUUCAAACGAGGAGCAGAUCCAGGAAUACCGGAGCCUUCAGUCUUGGGUUUACUUUGGGGUUGAAGAAGGAUGACGUGCACCUGCAUCAACAACCUCCACCCGAAGACCACGACGAGUUGGCCACAUGAAAGUCAAUGUCAGUAUAUAAAGUGUCAAUUUGGUCUGAGAUAUUUAUUUGUUAUUGUUACGAGUCUUACGACAUUGUCUUGAAGUCUGUUCCAUGUUUUUGUCAAUAAAUGUCUGACAGUAAAGCCCAUAAGUGGCCUUACGAUAUUUCAGUUUUGCAAAUAUAUAUAUACGAUGUAUUUGAAUCUCAUAAAAAGAGAUUUCUGUAGUUCAAUCUAAUAAGUGAAAUUCUCAAAAGACACCUGCCAAAGUGUUAUAAAUCAAGCAGUUCAAUUCACAAGUAAGCAAAUAGUUUUAUUCAUGUUUUAAAAAUACAUUCAGUUUAAAAAAUAAAUAUAAUUAUCAUGCCUUCAAGUAUAAAAACAAUAACAUGUAAUAAAUAUCCUCUUUAAAUAAUUCAUAUUACUGUUUGCAAUAAAUAAGGUCUUAGACUCACAAUGGCUUUUUUGAAUGAGCAAUAAAUAGGUUAUCUACAGAAUAAAAAAAUAAAAAAAACUCAGUGCGUCAUGCAAAAACAAAUACAUCAUCAAUCCGUCAGUGGGUUACGACACGUCAGUGCAGAUCCAAGAACUUCCUUAAUUCACUUCAUGUUUUGCCCAACAUUUCCGACGGGCUUCCGUGGCGGACGUGACUACCGCAAUAAACUAAACAUGGCGAAGACCUUGGCAUGUUUUCCCCUUCGCCGUUCUUUGCGCCUCAGCGCCCUCUCGCCGUCAACAAUGAAGAUGUAGAGCUUCCGCAGGAUGUUGUGCGCCGUCAUCUUUCUGUGGAAAGCAUCGGGGUGGUACAGUGACCUCAAUAGGCUCUCUUCCUUAUUGCUACUCAGGCCUGUGACCUCUUCUGGUUUUUUCAUCUGCCGGACAAGAGUAAGCAAGAGUAAGGGCGCCGUUUCCUCCUCACUUGAGGUGUCGCUUGAUGGCAAGACGGUGGUCGCUUCUGUCAACGGAGCGCCAUUGGCUCGCAGUACUAGAAAAGCCACCAAGCCCACCGCGAGAAUUUGCGUGUCUAAUGCGGAAGCAGAAGAAAAUCAUGAAUGAAUGGCAAAAGAGGAAGAAAAUUCAGGAAACAUUCAUCCCGACUUACACAUGUUGGGCAUGUUGCGUCGAGAUUACUCUUGCCUUGACCGCCUGCUCUCGUGGAACAUGUCUUGACUUCUUAUUGCACAGCCGUUAUAUAUUCUACUGACCGCAGGGAUUUCCGAAUACCUUCCGGUUUCAAUUAUAUACUGAUGAAACCGAUAUUACACUCUUUUUUUUUUUUUUUGGUGCAUACAGCAGAAUGUAAUUACACAGAAUGAAAAAACACGAAUUCAAUCAUUUUUAAAGAACAACAACUUUAUUUCAAUUAUUUCAAUUAAAUUUUACAACAGGUCGGAGCAGAUUUUAUUAAAAAAAAGCCCAUUUAAUGUAUUGUUAUAACAUAUUUUUAUAAUGUGACCAUGUCAAAAGUCAAAGUCUGCUUGACACACAAAUAAACCGAAAUUCCUCUAUCCCAGGGUGGAAGCGGAAUUUCCAUCAUCAUCUUCCAAAUUUGUGGCAGUGGCUUUGCUUAUCUCCAUUUCCUGGAAGAAAAACGGACGUCAAAAGAGAAAUAUUGCUUCUUGUCGCUUGAAAGAUGUGUCACCUCUCCGUUAGUGUUGAUCAAGGUAGUCUGGAACUGAUCUCCGGUUCCCCAGUUGGCCUGUGUCUCCCAGACUAGAUCAGAGGGAGGAUUGUGGUUUCCGCCAGCGUCAGCCGCCCAGAUCUGAUCAGCAUGUAAAGGUCAUUGAAAUAUUGAGCACCUUGUAUCUGAGAUCUUCCAGAUAAGAUUGAUUACCGUGACUCUCUGGCCGGCCUUCAGGAUGAACUCUGCGGGAAACUUGAAUGCGAUGGGAGCAGAAGAUCCAACCUGGCGCUUCACCUGCCAGUUCCCCAAAUUCUGAUCCUAAUAGUUGAAAUUCAUCUCAACAGGUUAGUCCAGGGGUGGGCAAACUACGGCCCACGGGGCACAUCCGGCCCACGGGACCGUUUAAUCCGGCCCGCCAACCCUGAAUUGUAUUAUUAAACCUUUUGUUUUGGUCAUUUUGCCUGCAAUGACUGCGUUUCCCCAGUAGAUGGGGAAGCGCUCGCCUUCGCAUUUACUGCCGGAAGCCGUGUCAGAAAGCUCAGUGCACACUCACAAAUGCGUGUACGUACUCAGUAGUACGGACAUGGCGCAUUCGCGCUCUAUUUGCUGUGACGACAGCAUUCUUGUAAUUCGCGCGCUCAGCUUUCAGAUGCAGUUUUGCGCUAAGCCACCCACAAACCUUCCCCUGGAAUCCUUCCAUUAAAAUGAGUCGCCCAAGGAAAAGCAAGGUGGACACAGUGCCGAGUGUUUAAAAGAGAGUGGCCAAUUUGGCUCGACGUACGCGACGUGACGUUCAGCCACAUGAACGUCAACAUCAACCCGUCACAGAUCGAGGUAAACGGACCAACUCGUCGGAUCUCUCCUAAGAAUUGCCACAACCAAAUUUUACUCCAGACUAUGACGCACUAGCAAAAAAGGGAGACCAACAACACUGUUCCCACUGAAAAUGAAGGCUCUCAAGUUUGUUGUAAAAAAAUGCAUUUUGAAUAUGAUUUGUACACAUAGCAGGGAUUGAAACUAGCGACCAUCCUCAUUUUCAAAGAAUGCAGGAUGCUCAAGGACAUUGAUGCACCACCUGUUUGCGACUAAUCUUAACCUGUAAAGUUCUUAAGGCUUACUUUAAGCAAGUGUUUCCCGUUUCCUCACCUCUGUUACCAGGUGUUUGUGAGUUAAAACUCUGCUCAGAUUUUCAGAUACCCCUCACCGUGUUGCCAUUUUGAUUACUUUAUUUGGAUGUAUGCUUUCACCGAUUCUUCAAGAUGAUAUAUUUGGUCAGAAUGUUUGCCGUUUGAUGUGAUCUCAGAAGAUAAACAUCUUUCAUUAAUCUGACCUGCAGGCACUGAAGUGACGGAGACUGUUAUUCAUAAUAACAGUGUCGUAUUUUAUGAGAAUCACUGAUAGCAGUUUUUUAGUGAUUUUUUUUUUUAAUGCUGUUAAUAAAUGCAUUUGUUUUCAAAAAACUUGUUUAGAAUAUCCAUGCUUUACUACCUACUGAAGGCCAAAAUCUUUUAUGCAAUGACCUUUACAGGUCGCUUAUAUUACUUCACACAAACACUACGUCCAUCUGCUCCUGGUUCGGCCCUCCGGUCUAAAUUUAGAACCCAGUUCGGCCCGCGAGUCAAAAGGUUUGCCCACCAUUGGGUUAGUCGUUACUGGAAAAUGUGCAAAUUUCGUAAGAUGUUCCAGUGUGACACAUCCACUGACCUCAUCUCCGUCAUUGCGGAGUCGGACAUAUUUGCCGUCCUCGUCCACCUCAUCCACAGUGACCUGCCCGCUAACAGAGGCCGGCUGGGCGAUGAAAGUACAAGCCUCAGCGUUUAGGGGCACGCUCACACCCUCGCUGUCGGUUUCGUUGGGACGCUUCCUCUUCCCGCUGGCCGACGUGGUCGGGCGUACCCUGGGGACAAACGUGGAGACAUUAAAUGCUAUGAGAGGAAAAGUUGUGGUAUGUUUGUAAGCUGUGCACACACACCUCUCCUCCUCGCUGUCAAGCUCCUUCCUGUGUGGACUAUCCAGCGCUAGCUGGACAUUGAUUAGCUUCUGAUACUCAACCACCUUCUGCUCCAACUGCUUCUUCACGUCCCUCUCUGUAGACAGAGCCUGCUCCAGAUCUUUCACUUUCUCAUCACGGGCUGCAAGCUAGAGUCAACACACACUUUUUAAACUUUUGCAGCUGAGACAGAUUCUAAGGUCCAAAUGAUGAAUGUGAAGUUCAUUCUGGCUUCCCACCUGGCGGGCGUUUUCCAACUCCACCUUGCAAGACUCGUGCUGGCGUUUGACCUCGCGCAACUCCUACGUGAGACCUCCUUUUUAAGGGUUUGAAUGCGAUACUCUCCAUCCACCCUCCUGGGCAUCUCAUCCUGCAGCUGAUUUUGGGCAUCUUCCAAGCUGGUCUCGAGCUAAACGUGGCAACAACUUUAACACAAUCAUCACGGUAAUUUAAUCGUGAUUUGAUUCACCUUGGCA